AUAACCACCUUCCCUUGAAUAUUACCGGAGCUUCUCGAAUAUUAGUUUGAAUCACUGACUAUGCCGCCGGGGUACGGCGGCGCCGCCCCCAAAUCACCUCAAGUUCACUCUCUGCAACCCCCAUGCCUCCCUCAUGCCAAAUCCAUACUCAAUCUCACUCAAAAACCUCCACAAUCGCUCAAAACCCAAAUCUAGGGUUUUUCAAUUUCUCUGAUAGUGCAUAAAGGCCCUAACUCGAGUUCAGAGUCUGAUUCAACUAAGCUAAGUCUUCUAUGUUUCUUUGUCUUAUUUUAUUUUCCCUUCGCCUCAUCUCUUGUCCAUUAAUUUGGUUAUUUUGUCAAAAAUCCUGAGUUUAAGUUUAAUUAGGGUUGUAUUAGUUUUAUUUUUGUUGAAUAGUUUAGUUAAGUUAAUUAGGGUUGUAGUUUUAUUUUGUCUACUUUCCCGAGUUUUAAUCAAGAAUGCACCAGUAUUAUGUUCCUGAGUUAAAUCAAGUCUUUUGUGAUUAGAUUUCAUGUUUAGUCUUGAGUUCGAAUUAGUUUUCAUUCAUGAUAAAUCCUGAGGUUAUUGUUCCAUGAUGGGCUCAUAUAUCACUUUGGUUUUCCAUUUUUGUUUUUCUGCAUUUCUUUAAGAACUUUCAUACUUUGAUCCAUUUGGAAUUUCAUUUGCUUGUUUAAAACUUCAAAAUUUAGUCUAUCAAUUUAAAGAAAUUCGACGGAAGGGGUAGAAUGUAACUAGUAGGACAGUUGAGGGUAGUUUGGAUAUUUGGCUAAGGGCAUCUUUUAAUAACUG
This 789-nucleotide long non-coding RNA is filed under the name Nicotiana benthamiana. RNAcentral describes it as "long non-coding RNA (NBEN_LNC003117)". Lineage: Eukaryota; Viridiplantae; Streptophyta; Magnoliopsida; Solanales; Solanaceae. The record is from RNAcentral.